This 503-nucleotide ribosomal RNA is filed under the name uncultured bacterium. RNAcentral describes it as "partial 16S ribosomal RNA". It matches the Rfam family "Bacterial small subunit ribosomal RNA", at positions 30 to 523 of the family's 1533-position model. The record is from RNAcentral.
AUUGAACGCUGGCGGCAGGCUUAACACAUGCAAGUCGAGCGGGGUGAUGGUGCUUGCACUAUCACUUAGCGGCGGACGGGUGAGUAAUGCUUAGGAAUCUGCCUAUUAGUGGGGGACAACAUCUCGAAAGGGAUGCUAAUACCGCAUACGUCCUACGGGAGAAAGCAGGGGAUCACUUGUGACCUUGCGCUAAUAGAUGAGCCUCAGUCGGAUUAGCUAGUUGGUGGGGGAAAGGCCUACCAAGGCGACGAGCUGUAGCGGGUCUGAGAGGAGGAUCCGCCACACUGGGACUGAGACACGGCCCAGACUCCUACGGGAGGCAGCAGUGGGGAAUAUUGGACAAUGGGGGGAACCCUGAUCCAGCCAUGCCGCGUGUGUGAAGAAGGCCUUAUGGUUGUAAAGCACUUUAAGCGAGGAGGAGGCUCUUUUGGUUAAUACCCAAGAUGAGUGGACGUUACUCGCAGAAUAAGCACCGGCUAACUCUGUGCCAGCCGCCGCGGUAA